UACAGAGGGUGCAAGCGUUAAUCGGAAUUCCUGGGCGUAAAGCGUGCGUAGACGGUUACAUACGUCGGGUGUGAAAGCCCCGGGCUCAACCUGGGAAUUGCAUUCGAGACUGCGUAGCUAGGGUGCGGAAGAGGGAAGCGGAAUUUCCGGUGUAGCGGUGAAAUGCGUAGAUAUCGGAAGGAACACCAGUGGCGAAAGCGGCUUCCUGGUCCAGCACCGACGUUCAGGCACGAAAGCGUGGGGAGCAAACAGG
This 253-nucleotide ribosomal RNA is filed under the name uncultured bacterium. RNAcentral describes it as "partial 16S ribosomal RNA". It matches the Rfam family "Bacterial small subunit ribosomal RNA", at positions 524 to 776 of the family's 1533-position model. The record is from RNAcentral.